RNAcentral lists this long non-coding RNA (2538 nucleotides) under Lynx pardinus (Iberian lynx). The record is from RNAcentral. Lineage: Eukaryota; Metazoa; Chordata; Mammalia; Carnivora; Felidae.
AGGUAGCAGCCUGCUGCACCCCCCGCCCCCCGCCAUCACCCACUUCUAGGCCCACAUCCCCUGGGGCUGGGGCCUUCCCUUUCCUCCAGCCCUGGUGCCAUGUUGCCCGCAGGCCCAGCAGGGAGAGAGAUCAGCUGACCCCGGGACAGUCUGGGCAGCUGUGCAGAACCUUGAAGGAGGGGCGGGUUUUACACACGACAGGCUGACCCCCCUCCCCCCCCCCGCCAUGUGCACAGGCAGCACCCUGGAGAUGACAAAGCCUUUUAUAUCCUCCCAUCUCGUCCCUACAGAAACCCACUUUACAAGCUAGAAAACAGGUUCAGAGGGGUAGAGUGACCUGUCCAAGUAGGUGGCGGAGCUGAGACUGGCACCCGGGUCUGUCUCCGUCUCUGCCCUAGUUGUAAAGAGGACAGGAACCGGCAUGGCCAGGGGAUGGGGGGUGACGUAGAGGCUUCUCUCUGGGGUGUGAAUGAGACUGGUCAGCCAGAGUGCUGCCCAAUCACAGAGGACCUUGAGGGAGCAGAUACCAGGCAGCUAUUGAAGGCUUUUGAGCAGGGGAGUUAGGGCUGAGCUAACGAAGGGAGUGGAAGGGAACUCAUUUCUACCCAUCCCUGCCAUGUGUCAGGCCUGGUAUUAGGGGCUUUUAUAUGCAUUUACUUUACUUAAUCCUCAUGACAAGCCUGUUAAACACUCUCCCCCCCCCCCACCCCCUCCCAUAUCUGAGAAAACAGGCUCAGAAAUGUUAAGUAACUUGCCCAAGGUCAAGUAGCCCAUGGGUAGCGGAGCUGGGAUUCAAGUCAGGUCUGGCCCCAAAGUCUGUGGUUUUCCCAAGACUGCCAGCCUGCCUGCUGUGGUAGAAGGAGCCUAGGGCCUAGACUGAAGCCGGUUCUCUGGCUUGGGCUAGGAGUCCUGUUUGGGCUGUGGGGUGAGCUUCCCACAGUUUCCAGACAGUUGGUCAGGGAAAGCCCCUGAAGGAUGAAGAGGGCGGCCAUGACAAGAUCUGGGGAAAAGCACUCCUGGGAGGAGAAGCAGCCAGUGCAAAGGCCCUGAGGCAGAAGGGCGUUCAGAAUAUUUGGGGAACAGCAGGGCAGCCAGUGUCGCUGAGCUUCAUGAGCAAGGGGGAGAGGGGAGGAGGAGAGGAGGGGAGGCUAGCAAGAAGGCGAUGCCAUCCCAUGCACGGCUUUGGAGGCUUGGGGAGGACUCUGGAUUUUGUUUUAUUCGAAGAGGCCUGGGAAGCCCUGGAGGGUUGUAACUGGGGGAGUGAUGUGACUUGAAACCCAGUUGAGAAGGAUGGAUUAGAGAGAGCCCCAGAGAAGUAACAGGGGCCUGUGAAGGGGCCAUUACCGUUUUGUGGGGGGGUAUCUGGGGGCAGUUGGACAUCGGCCUGGAGGUCAGCAUCAAGGUGUGAGAUUGAGCUGGGGAGGCGAGAGCCCGGGGCACAGAAGCAAUAAGCGAAGCCGGGAGGGGCUGGGUUCACCUAGGGCUUGUGUUUCGGGUAAGAGAGGAGAGUGGCCAGGGCGGGCAGAGGGAGGUGCAGAGGAAAUGAAGCCGCAGUGGCCACCCUCCUACCCCUUUACUUCCUCCUCCUACCCCUCCCUGCCCCCUCUUACAUUCCCCUGGGGACUCCCUCACUCUCCCCUGGGCUGUCAGACCGCCCCCAGGUUCAGUGUGUCAGGACAUACAAGGCACUGCAGCCAGAUGAGCUGACCCUGGAAAAGACUGACAUCCUGGCAGUGAGGACCCAAACCAGCGACGGUGAGAAGGGCCUCCUGGGAAGGCCUCCCUGAUGGGGCUUGGGUGGGUAGGAGGUCGCUAGAUGGCUAAGAUACCACAGGAGAAGCUUGUGCAAGUGUUGAUCAACCACAGCAUGCAGGAAUCAAGUUAGACAAGAGGAGGAACCUCCUGCUCAUAAAGGUGUAGGAUUUGGAGUGACUGAUGGGGGGAGAGGGGGAAAUACCCUUCGUGGAGGAUGUCGGGAAAAACAGCUCAGAAGUUCAUCUGCAAGGCUGCCAGAGGCAGGGUCCUUCCUGGAGCUGGGAGAUGCUGGGAUGAUGUCACCUCGGCCCCGGGGGUGCAGACAAGGCUUGCAUCAGGGCCUAGGCGUUCCCUUGCAGACCUGGCCCUGGUGUCCCUUCGAUGCCACUCACGGACGCUGCUCCUGGCCUGUGUGCCUGUAGGCUGGCUGGAGGGGGUCCGCCUGGCAGAUGGUGAGAAGGGGUGGGUGCCCCAGGCCUACGUGGAAGAGAUCAGCAGCCUCAGUGCCCGCCUUCGAAACCUCCGGGAGAAUAAGCGGAUCACAAGCGCCACCAGCAAAGUGGGGGAGCCCCCCGUGUGAUGGGCAGCCGCGGCCUGGGACAUCGUGCCCGGCUCCUGGACAGGUCUGGAGGGACCUGUUGUGUCCCAUGCCCCAGGCCAUCGCGGCUGCGCCUUGGCCUGGCAUCGAGAGCAUAGCCUGUCUUCACGUUCCUUAAAGUCCACGCUUUGGGGCCGAUGCCGGUUUCUUCCUCUGGCAUAGGGACUGCACAGGUGACAUAUGGC